AUUUGCCUGACUGCCCNAACAGNAGACGNGGUAAUACGUAGGUGGCAAGCGUUGUCCGGAUUUAUUGGGUUUAAAGGGUGCGUAGGCGGCUUUGUAAGUCAGUGGUGAAAUAUGGCAGCUCAACUGNCAGGGUGCCAUUGAUACUGCGGAGCUUGAGUACAGAUGAGGUAGGCGGAAUUGACGGUGUAGCGGNGAAAUGCUUAGAUAUCGUCAAGAACACCGAUAGNGAAGGCAGNUUACUAGGCUGUAACUGACGCUGAGGCACGAAAGUGUGGGGAUCAAACAGGAUUAGAUACCCUGGUAGUCCACACUG
Molecule: ribosomal RNA, 313 nt
Filed under: unidentified eubacterium 173R6
Lineage: Bacteria
Description: partial 16S ribosomal RNA
Rfam family: Bacterial small subunit ribosomal RNA
Source: RNAcentral